GCGGAAGGAUCAUUACAGAAAGUAAACGCGGAUCAAACCGCGAACUUCUAAACCUUUGACGAUUGACUCAUGUUGCCUCGGCGGGUUCUCCCGCCAGAGGAUACAUCAAAACUCCUGUUUUAACGGUGUUGUCUGAGCUACAAGCAACGAAUCAAAACUUUCAACAACGGAUCUCUUGGUUCUGGCAUCGAUGAAGAACGCAGCGAAAUGCGAUAAGUAGUGUGAAUUGCAGAAUUCAGUGAAUCAUCGAAUCUUUGAACGCACAUUGCGCCCCUUGGUAUCCCGAGGGGCAUGCCUGUUCGAGCGUCAUUUCACCACUCAAGCCUGGCUUGGUGUUGGGCGACGUCCCCUUUGGGGACGCGCCUCGAAACGCUCGGCGGCGUGGCACCGGCUUUAAGCGUAGCAGAAUCUUUCGCUUUGAAAGUCGGGGCCCCGUCUGCCGGAAGACCUACUCGCAAGGUUGACCUCGGAUCAGGCAGGGAUACCCGCUGAACUUAAGCAUAUCAAUAA
RNAcentral lists this small RNA (510 nucleotides) under fungal sp. JH 86. RNAcentral describes it as "eukaryotic LSU rRNA". The stretch from base 156 to 309 matches the Rfam family "5.8S ribosomal RNA". Lineage: Eukaryota; Fungi. The record is from RNAcentral.